This 347-nucleotide unclassified non-coding RNA is filed under the name soil metagenome. RNAcentral's name for it is "partial contains 5.8S ribosomal RNA, internal transcribed spacer 2, and large subunit ribosomal RNA". The stretch from base 1 to 120 matches the Rfam family "5.8S ribosomal RNA", at positions 35 to 154 of the family's 154-position model. The record is from RNAcentral.
GAUGAAGAACGUAGUGAAAUGCGAUAAUUAAUGUGAAUUGCAGAAUUCAGUGAAUCAUCGAGUCUUUGAACGCACAUUGCGCCGCCUGGUAUUCCGGGGGGCAUGCCUGUCCGAGCGUCAUUGCUGCCCUCAAGCACGGCUUGUGUGUUGGGCUUCCGUCCCUGGCAACGGGGACGGGCCCAAAAGGCAGUGGCGGCACCAUGUCUGGUCCUCGAGCGUAUGGGGCUUUGUCACCCGCUCCCGUAGGUCCAGCUGGCAGCUAGCCUCGCAACCAAUCUUUUUAACCAGGUUGACCUCGGAUCAGGUAGGGAUACCCGCUGAACUUAAGCAUAUCAAUAAGCGGAGGA